RNAcentral lists this unclassified non-coding RNA (1007 nucleotides) under Hevea brasiliensis (rubber tree). Lineage: Eukaryota; Viridiplantae; Streptophyta; Magnoliopsida; Malpighiales; Euphorbiaceae. The record is from RNAcentral.
AAAAAUAAAAAAAGAAAGAAAGAAAGACAGAAUUUUAGUAAACAAAACCUUAAUCCUCACUGUAAGCUUACAGUUUUCGUGUCUCGCGGCGACAUUAUUAUAAGUAUUUUUAUCAUUAUCAUUUAUUAAGCUCUAUUUCUCUGUCUCUAUCUAACUCUCUUUCUGACUCUGUCCCUGUCUCUGGUUCUCUCUCUGUUGGUUUUCGGCAAGCUCUGGUCUGGUCUCCCUAAGAACACUUGCAUUUGAGGGGUAAGUGGCACAGUGGUAAAAUGGAGAGGAAGCAGGGGUUCUUUUCGGCUUUAAAGGAGGAGGUGGUUAGGGGCUUAUCGCCGGGGAGGUCAAGAGCCAAGACUCCUGCUAGGAGCGCGUCCCCAAUGUCGAAUUUGUUACGGAGGAGAAAGGGACGUGGACACCACGUGGCGCAGCCCGAGCCGUUGAUUAUAGCAAGAUCGGGGAGCUUGAGGCCUGUGGAGGCUUUAUCGCCGUUGAAGGAGGGGCCUGAUCAAGACGACGGUGGAGAUUCGAGGAUGGAAGGGAGGUGGGGCCACUGGAUGAAGGGACAGCUGUCCAGAACGCCGUCCGUUGCGUCGUCAAAUGCGUGCAAUCGCUCCGAUCUGAGGUUGCUGCUGGGUGUACUGGGUGCGCCACUUGCUCCGGUCCACGUCAGCAGCGCCGAGCCUUUGCCUCACCUGAGUAUAAAAGAUACUCCAAUUGAAACUUCAUCUGCUCAAUAUAUAUUGCAGCAGUACACAGCAGCUUCAGGAGGGCAAAGAAUUCAAAAUUCCAUCCACAAUGCUUAUGCCAUGGGAAAGGUGAAGAUGAUAGCGUCUGAGUUUGAAACAGCAAACAAGGUCACAAGGAAUCGGAAUUCCUCCAAAGCUGCUGAGUCUGGUGGGUUUGUCCUCUGGCAAAUGAAUCCAGAUAUGUGGUAUGUUGAACUUGCUCUUGGUGGCAGCAAGGUCCAUGCUGGCUGCAAUGGGAAACUUGUGUGGAGGCACACACCCUGG